UAGACACAUUUUUAUCAUUCACUUGGUUCUUGUGUGUUUGAUUUCCAUUGAGGUCAAUAUCAUGCUGGUCUAAUUACAAAAAGUAAGCAUAAACACCGCUAAGAUAAGGUAUAUUCUUGGAUGUAGAUUGGCUUCAGUGCGCCUCAAGGAUGUGGAAAGACAACACUAGUAUUUGCAUUAGAAUAUCUGUUUAAAAUCACAGGGAGGUAAGUUGCAUCAUGAUAUUUUGUUUCCUCUAUGGAACGGAAAUGACCAAAAUUAUGCUGAACAUGCGUAAUCAGGAAAGCUGCUACACCUUCCUCUAUGGAACGGAAAUGACCAAAAUUUUGCUGAACAUGCGUAAUCAGGAAAGCUGCUACACUAUCCAUUGAUGAUUUUUAUUUAACAGCAGAGGAACAGGUAAGUGUUUCAUGAGUUUGUGUUCUGCUAUUUUGUUUUCGUGUAUUAUCAUUAAUGC
Molecule: long non-coding RNA, 457 nt
Filed under: Nicotiana benthamiana
Lineage: Eukaryota; Viridiplantae; Streptophyta; Magnoliopsida; Solanales; Solanaceae
Description: long non-coding RNA (NBEN_LNC041486)
Source: RNAcentral